CGAGAAGAAAGGGUAGGUUACUAGAUAAGAAAUCUCUCUCUAAAAAUCACUAUACCCAGAGAUCCACUUUUGUUAGGAAUUGUUAUCCUACAAGUGAAAUUGAUUGACGUUAUAUAAUUUAAAGUAUCCUGAAACUAUACAGAUUCAUUAACAAUGCUCACCUAUUUUGAUGCGCCAGAGGGACAAGAUCUGCCCGGAAAACUUAAAUCAUGUCACACGUUAGGAUUUUAUUUGGGUAUCACAGCUGGUGCAACAGAUGCAUUUUUGUAUUCUGAAUGCAAAACACUUAGCCAUGUUUUACAGCGUAUGGCAUUUCAUUUCGUACCAAUAUAUGCUGGUGCUAUGACUUUUGGAUCUGUUGCGUUUAUAGUAGCACGUCAUAGAGGAAAGGGUGAUGGGAUGGAACAUUCUUUGGGUGCGCUUGCUACUGCUCCAAUAAUACAUGCUUGGCUUAGACUACCAUUUAUGUAUACUUGUCAAGCAGUAGCAGGCUUGGCCUUGCUUGCAGCUUUUAACAAAACUUUCAGAAUGGAUUUCCCAGAUUUUCACAGGAGAAAGCCAACCCCUAUAUCUUUUCCGACAUAUAGGUGGUCAUAAUAAAAAGAAAACAGGGCUUCAGCAAUUUAUUUAAAAUACUGUAGGAUUUGUGAUUAAAAUAUAUGAUUACACAUGA
Long non-coding RNA from Hylaeus volcanicus, 673 nucleotides. RefSeq lists it as uncharacterized. The record is from RefSeq and is a predicted model, not a curated record. The transcript is spliced from 3 exons. NCBI's taxonomy places the organism in Eukaryota, Metazoa, Arthropoda, Insecta, Hymenoptera, Colletidae.